AAACUUCGCAAUGUGCGCAAGCACGACGAGGGAAUCCUAAGUGCCUAUGCUUUGCAUAGGCUGUUCCUGUCUAAAAAACAGGGGGAGUAAGGGCUGGGUAAGACGGGUGCCAGCCGCCGCGGUAAUACCCGCAGCCCAAGUGGUGAUCGUUAUUAUUGGGUUUAAAACGUCCGUAGCUGGUCUAGUAAAUUCCUGGGUAAAUCGAAUUGCUUAACAAUUCGAAUUCCGGGUAGACUGCUAGACU
This 244-nucleotide ribosomal RNA is filed under the name uncultured archaeon. RNAcentral's name for it is "partial 16S ribosomal RNA". It matches the Rfam family "Archaeal small subunit ribosomal RNA", at positions 345 to 593 of the family's 1478-position model. The record is from RNAcentral.